This 172-nucleotide ribosomal RNA is filed under the name Desulfosporosinus lacus DSM 15449. Its description in RNAcentral is "16S rRNA. Bacterial SSU". It matches the Rfam family "Bacterial small subunit ribosomal RNA", at positions 19 to 181 of the family's 1533-position model. The record is from RNAcentral. Lineage: Bacteria; Bacillati; Bacillota; Clostridia; Eubacteriales; Desulfitobacteriaceae.
CUGGCUCAGGACGAACGCUGGCGGCGUGCCUAACACAUGCAAGUCGAACGGAGAAUUUCAAUAAGUUUACUUAGAGAAGUUUUUAGUGGCGGACGGGUGAGUAACGCGUGGGUAACCUACCCAUAAAGCCGGGACAACCCUUGGAAACGAGGGCUAAUACCGGAUAAUCUUA